UACAGAGGGUGCGAGCGUUGUCCGGAAUCACUGGGCGUAAAGGGCGCGUAGGUGGCGCUCCAAGUCUGUGGUGAAAGCUCGACGCUCAACGUCGAGUCGGCCAUAGAGACUGGAGGGCUCGAGCACUGUAGGGGCAGAUGGAAUUCCGGGUGUAGCGGUGGAAUGCGUAGAGAUCCGGAAGAACACCGGUGGCGAAGGCGGCAUCCUGGACUGGUACUGACGCUCAAGAGCGAAAGCGUGGGGAGCGAUCCGG
RNAcentral lists this ribosomal RNA (253 nucleotides) under uncultured prokaryote. RNAcentral describes it as "partial 16S ribosomal RNA". It matches the Rfam family "Bacterial small subunit ribosomal RNA", at positions 524 to 776 of the family's 1533-position model. The record is from RNAcentral.